Long non-coding RNA from Melospiza melodia melodia, 2488 nucleotides. RefSeq lists it as uncharacterized. The record is from RefSeq and is a predicted model, not a curated record. The transcript is spliced from 2 exons. NCBI's taxonomy places the organism in Eukaryota, Metazoa, Chordata, Aves, Passeriformes, Passerellidae.
GUAUAAUAAACAAGGUGCUCGACAUACCAGCAAUACCAAUGCUCUGCCCUGCGUCACUGCCACCCACUUGCAGGAGACUUUUGUCUGUCCCCAGACCUCUUCUGAGCCUCAAGAGAUCCUGCUGAGAUCUCCAGGCUGAGAUCCUGCUCCAGUGUUAUCCUGGUCACCCAGCCCCAAGCAGCCACCGUCCUGGAGGGAGGUAACAGUCCUGGGAAAGUGGGGUUGCAUGGAUUUGAUGUUGCUGUUUUUCUGGGUGGGACUUCUGAGGUUUCACUGAUGCCAUUUCUAUCUGUAAGCACAUAACCACUCUUAUUGUGAAUGGUAAAGGACCCUUCCCUGCACAUCUCCUGUUUUGGGGAGUGCAGAGCCUCAUACACAGACUGUAAACCCCUGCAUCCCACAGCAUCCCUCUCCCUGUGCCCUGAUGAGCACCAAAAACUUCUCACCAAGGACAGAGAGGUUACCCCUGCUCCCAGUGCAGCUGCUCUGUAUAAACCAUGUCCCACAGAUUAUCAUCUGAGGGCAGUAUUUUAACCACAAACUAUUCUUGUUUACCCGUUAUAGAGGCAGCAGGUGCAGGAGGCACUUUGCACUGAGGCAUGGGUGUGUAAGUUAUGGCCAGGGGGAUCAAAGCUCUCAGUGGCACCAAGAGCUGCCAUCACUCUCCAGUGUUACCUGGGGAUCUCCUGCAGACAACUCCCCGUUUGCCCGUGAUUCCCCUCAGCUUUUUAACAAGCCCUUUCCUUAGACAUGGCUUCACCUCCUGCUUCUCACUGGCAGGAGCCCUCCAGCCCCAGCCAUUCCCAGGUUCAGCAGCCAUCAAAGUGCUGCUGAUCAAGGCAUCCCCCAGGAAGGCUCAGCUCCCCAUGUCCCCAGGGAACAGGCAGCUCACAGGCAGGAGCCUGGCAGCUUUGCACUCCUCAUUUAGGCACUGCUGCCCCUGAGGAUGGGGAUGCUGCAAAUGCCCCAAAUUGAAUGUACACCGAGGGAGGGAUACACUGGUCCCUGUGCCAGGCUGGAGGGGCAAAGCAGGGCACAGAGAGUCUUUGGCACCCUGGCUCAGGGCUGUUACCCCUUCACUGGAGGAAGGGAGCUUCUGGGGACAGACUGAUGGACAGAUAAAGAGCACAGUCUGGCAGCCAGCCUCGUGCUGGUCAUCCUCACACUCCCUCUUUGCAGCCUGGCAAAUUUCUUCCUGGAAAUAUUUGUAAAAUGUAGGCAGCUCUUUUAAUAACUGCCACAUGGCAUGCUUUAAAGAAAACCAAAAACCCCAACAGAGUGUCAAUGUCUCCUUCAAGCUAAUAUCAUGCUAAUGCUGAGCACAGUGAGUGGUGCAAGAAGGUGGAUUUACAGCAGAGGCACGGGGUGGAGCACUGAACUCCCUGGGUUUUGGUCCCAGCCUGCUGCAGCCCUGCCUGUGCUGGAGGAGAUUCCUGUGCUCCCAUUCCUGCCACACUGUGCCUCAGUUUCCCCAAUGAACACAGGAGCAGAGAGGCCGGGAAGCAAGUCCAUACCCAUGAAGAUCUUGUGGAGAGAUGAGUGAGGAAAAUACACAUUAUUGAUGAAUUACUCUGGGAUGUCUGUUCCUCUUCUGGAUGCAAAGAGUCCAGGAGAGACUGGGACUGUGCUCCUUCAGGAUCUGGUGCCUGGUGGUGGGGACAGUGGAGGCUGCAAAAAGCCAUCUCAGGGGAUGAUUCCUCAUGCCUGAUCUUGGCCAAGGAAUGAGUGAGAAGAGAUGCUUCGGUCUCCUUUAUCAGACUGGAGAAAGGCACAAGCAGCAGGGUCCCAGUCACAGCUUCCCUGGUCCCAUUUCUGCUGCUUCUGCCCCAGGGGGAUCAGCUCUGCCCGGCACUCACCCAAACCAAGCAGCAUCCCUGCCUGCCCUGGAGGAGGAAGGUGAAGGAUGUCACUCUGGCCAGAGCCCUGGUUUCAGUCUGUGGGCUGACAGUGGAUUUCAGUGCAGACAUCAGGCAGCGCAGCUCUUCCCGCAUCAGCUCACACCUGCUCUGCAAAGCUGCUCUCCAUCCAACACACACAGCCUGUUUGCAAGCUCCGUGUAUGUUUGCAUAACCUCGGGUCUUUUUGGCCGGAAACCAGGCUUUUGGGAGGAUUUCUCAGGCUUUCAAAACCCAUCAUGGUGCUGGGGCUGUGAGUACGUGUGCUCUAACCACACAACGUGACAGGCAGGAGGAAGGAGCGGUGGCCGCGGGAGGGAAAGAUGGGUCCGUCAAAGCUGUGAAAGCAGACUUUCUGGGAUCACACCUUGCUUUUUUCCCUCUCCUCAGAGAUAUUUUCUUUCAAACAUCAUAAAAAUGUAUUGGAUAUUUUUUCAAGGAUGCCCAGGAGAGAGAGCAGAAGGAAAGGCAGCCUGCAGCGUGGCUCUGUGGAUAACUGAUUGCUUUGCUCAUUUUGGUCUGACCCAGAACAAAUAUGUUUCAUUUUUCCAAUGAGCUGGUAAAAAAAAUACAGUCCCCUUAUUUCUAGUUUA